CCCAACCUCCCCUGCUCUGCAACCUCAUCCUUCCCCUGUCUUUCCUGGGUUAAAUUUUACACUUAGUAACACUGAAACCAGGCAGUUUCACACCUCCGAGCCUGCAUCUAUGCUCAUCUCUUUACCUGAAACGUCUUCUCUCACCCCUCCCCCUCUGUCUGGCUAAUUCCUGCUCAUUCUCCAAGACCCAGUUCUCCGUGGUACCCCUUCUCACCCAACACACACCCCUCAAUCUAGCCUUUUCUGUGAGCAACCUACACCACCUUAUGCUGACCUGGUUGGGAGCACAUAUAUAGAAAGUUUGUGUGCCUGCCCCUCCCCAACUCCCCAGUUCCUCAAAAGUAGGGUCUGUGGUGCUAAAUUUUGUCUCUGCAGUCUCUGACAUAUCUAGGAGCUCAACAUAUAUCUGCUAAAUCAAACAGAAUCCAGAUGAACAAGAAUGCCCUCGACAUGUAGAUGUCACAAUUCAACAGCAUUCUAAGGGUUUGCUCGUGCUCAUGGGUAUCUUUAGGACAGGUGGCUUUUAAGGCCUCAAUAUAGAUGUAACACCCUACUCCCCUCGCACAAAAAACAAAAAAACAAAAAAAACUUUAACCCAAAUAAACUGAAAGUGAUUAUUUGCAUCUCAAAAGAUUGGGGGGAGGCAGGUUUUCUUUAAACAUUAAACCUUUGCUGGAACUUUCAGAAACUUUCCUUAUAGAUCAUUAACUUCUGGGGGAGGGUGGGAGCAGAAGCCGUGGAGUCUGAAUUCAGAGGUGCCUCUAUAAAAGAGGAAGCAAGGCAGAAAAUCUUGGAACCAGACAGAGCUGGGUUCAGAUUCUAGCUAUACUAGCUGUGUGGCCUUGGGCAAGCUACUUAACCUCUCUGCAGCUCGAUUUCUUUAUCACUAAAGUGGAGAUACACUAUACCUAUUUUGCAUGGUUGUUGUAAAGAUGCAAAAGAUCCUAUGUGGGGUACCUUAGCUCAUAGGAUGCCCCCAAUAAUAGUAACAGUGUUGCUGCUGUCAGGCUUAACACUGGGCAUGCAGGAGAAGAAGGAGUCUUGAGGGGCUUUUAACUUAGACGGCAGGAAUAAGAAAGCCAGGAAGGGCCAAGCCACUGUGCCAGCACAUUUUCAGUAUCACAGCACUUCAUGAUUUUUUUCACAAAUCUUUUGAUUUUUUUUUAAACUAAAUCUUUCCAUGUUGAACAGGCAGAUGCUGGCGACAGCACUGUGCAGUGUACUGGCAUGAGGGCCUGGACUCUAGGAGGCUGGACUACAGCUUACCCAGCUGUGGAUCCUGGGGCGUUCACUUACACUCAGUGUCUAUAGAAAGGAGACAAUAGGCCAGGCGUGGUGGCUCACACUUGUAAUCCCAGCACUUUGGGAGGCCCAGGCGGGCAGAUCAUGAGGUCAGGAGAUCGAUGCCAUCAAGGCUAACACGGUGAAACCCCAUCUAUACUAAAAAUACAAAAAAUUAGCCAGGCACGGUGGUGGGCAC
RNAcentral lists this long non-coding RNA (1480 nucleotides) under Homo sapiens (human). Its description in RNAcentral is "non-protein coding lnc-KIAA1614-1:3". The record is from RNAcentral. Lineage: Eukaryota; Metazoa; Chordata; Mammalia; Primates; Hominidae.